CAGGUCGUGCAAGACAGACAGAGGUGGAGGAAGUAUUUAAAUGCUUUACAUACGUAAAAGUAGAUACAUUGUAUGUGAUGCAUGGAGCUGAUGUGAGUAUGAUGUCACUGAGGCAACUGGACUCCUACGUCCAGGACCACAAUGAAAAUACAUAAUGAGAUCAUCCAGUAUGAAGAGGACAGAUAACUGUUAUAUGGCUGCUAUCUUGUCCAGGUCUCUCUUGUAAAUGAGGUUUUCUUUAAUCUAAAUGGCACUUAUUGGUAAAAUAAAAGAAAUAAUAAUCA
This is a long non-coding RNA of Seriola aureovittata, 284 nucleotides long. RefSeq lists it as uncharacterized. The transcript is spliced from 3 exons. NCBI's taxonomy places the organism in Eukaryota, Metazoa, Chordata, Actinopteri, Carangiformes, Carangidae. The record is from RefSeq and is a predicted model, not a curated record.